RNAcentral lists this ribosomal RNA (653 nucleotides) under Exiguobacterium sp. K2943. RNAcentral's name for it is "bacterial SSU rRNA". It matches the Rfam family "Bacterial small subunit ribosomal RNA", at positions 31 to 653 of the family's 1533-position model. The record is from RNAcentral. Lineage: Bacteria; Bacillati; Bacillota; Bacilli; Caryophanales.
CGACGCUGGCGGCGUGCCUAAUACAUGCAAGUCGAGCGCAGGAAACCGUCUGUAACCCUUCGGGGGGACGUACGGCGGAAUGAGCGGCGGACGGGUGAGUAACACGUAAAGAACCUGCCCACGGGUCUGGGAUAACCACGAGAAAUCGGGGCUAAUACCGGACGGGUCAUCGGACCGCAUGGUCCGAGGAUGAAAGGCGCUCCGGCGUCGCCCGUGGAUGGCUUUGCGGUGCAUUAGCUAGUUGGUGGGGUAAUGGCCCACCAAGGCGACGAUGCAUAGCCGACCUGAGAGGGUGAUCGGCCACACUGGGACUGAGACACGGCCCAGACUCCUACGGGAGGCAGCAGUAGGGAAUCUUCCACAAUGGACGAAAGUCUGAUGGAGCAACGCCGCGUGAACGAUGAAGGCCCUCGGGUCGUAAAGUUCUGUUGUAAGGGAAGAACAAGUGCCGCAGGCAAUGGCGGCACCUUGACGGUACCUUGCGAGAAAGCCACGGCUAACUACGUGCCAGCAGCCGCGGUAAUACGUAGGUGGCAAGCGUUGUCCGGAAUUAUUGGGCGUAAAGCGCGCGCANGCGGCCUCUUAAGUCUGAUGUGAAAGCCCCCGGCUCAACCGGGGAGGGCCAUUGGAAACUGGUANGCUUGAAUAUAGGA